UGAUCGGCGUGUCACGCAGGGAAAAGAAUCAGGCGGAUGAACAAAGGACAACCUGGAAGUGAUGAGGAUUUCGGGGCACAACGGUCGCCCGAGCGCCACGCAGAGUAAAUGAAGACAAACUAAACGAGGAACAUUUCCAGGUUAAAAAGCCAGAGGCCUCAACGACGCAUAUCGUACGUCUCUCCUUCUGAAGGAGGCAAACAACACCAGCUUGGCGACGGAAGUUUGAGCUUUUCCCAGCGCCGCACGUGGAACAAGCCGAGGCGGAGGCGAGCGACCACGAUUCCUCAAAUGUCUCCCCGCGAUCCCGCGAGGAACCUGCUGAUCACCUGAUCCAAAUGAGGCGGGGAAGGGAAACUCCUUGCCUUGAUCCGUGCGCGAGGAAAACAAAACCCCCUCAAAAAAACAGGAGGACUCGUAGAACCGCGGCAGUUGCGCUGCUAAUCUUGCGUAGCCGCGUCUCUGGCUUUCGCAUUACAGCGUCGGAUAAACAAGGCCCAACUUUGCAUUUGCUGAAAGGAACAAAGGCCGAACGACGAGACGGUGCAAUAAAAACAACCGGAUCGAAGGCAACUGGAAGUGAUGAAGGACUCGCUCACACUUACGUCGACGCGCGUUUCGAAUCACAGUGAUGUACGAUCCGCGGCCAUCAGCCAGGCCGACAUUGAUCA
Long non-coding RNA from Gasterosteus aculeatus aculeatus (three-spined stickleback), 671 nucleotides. The record is from Ensembl. NCBI's taxonomy places the organism in Eukaryota, Metazoa, Chordata, Actinopteri, Perciformes, Gasterosteidae.